This is a long non-coding RNA of Zea mays, 834 nucleotides long. RefSeq lists it as uncharacterized. The record is from RefSeq and is marked validated. The transcript is spliced from 3 exons. Lineage: Eukaryota; Viridiplantae; Streptophyta; Magnoliopsida; Poales; Poaceae.
AGCUUCGAUCGUCGGUAGCCAUAGCGUCUCCUCCCCUUCCCUUCCUCUACCAUGGACGCGAGCUCCAAGAUUCUGCUCGUCCAGGCCCCUUCCCAGGUGCUCCCGCUGAGCCCUUGGCCGAGUUUCUUUCCAUGGCCGCCGCAGCACCUGUUUCCUGCACGCUGGUCGCCCCUGCCCCAGCCAUGGUGCCGUCAGGCCGCCCGUCUCCUACCUCCCAAUGCCAGCCCUACUCCUAUGGCCGCGCCCUCCCUCUUCUGCGGCAGGUCGGCGAUCCCAUCUCCUUGCCCCUCCCAUGGCGGUUUCCGCCUGGAUCCCUCCCUGCGCGCACUCCUCUCCCCAUGGCUGUCGUCGCCCCCAAGCCUGGGGUCUUGCUGAGCUCGCCCAGCCCUUCCCCAUCUCAUCCCCACCUCCUAGAUGGUCGGCGCCCUCACCCCAUGGUGCCAUGGACGCCCGCUCCCUUUUGCUGCUCGACGUGGACAGGCUCGGUGCCCUCUCCUCACUUGAAGUCAGCAACAACGUCUCGGUAGUGGUCGAACAGCACGUUGUCGACUCCGUGAUUUUUGGGCAGCCCGGUUGCACUGUCGUCAAACCUCGCCCUCUGUCGAAGACGCGUGACGCUUGCUAGGUGUCAAAUAGAAAGACUGAACCGAAACUAUCGCCAUGUUCGCGGACACCGCGUCAAGUUUAGUCGUGGUACGCUAGAUAAUUAUGCGAGAUGAAAGGCAUGGAUCAGAAUGAACCACAAGAUGGUAUUAAUGGAAUAAUCGAAUGGAUGCAUCAAGCUGGUACCAGAAUGGGAGAUGCUCGCCAAGCGGAUGUCUCUAACAACACUAA